This is a small nucleolar RNA of Dipodomys ordii (Ord's kangaroo rat), 86 nucleotides long. The record is from Ensembl. NCBI's taxonomy places the organism in Eukaryota, Metazoa, Chordata, Mammalia, Rodentia, Heteromyidae.
UGCAAGUGAUGUCUUUUCUCAUGAUGGUCUAUGGAUGCCACUGUGGGCAGUGCCAAUUAUGCCAAAGGUUCAGCAGAUACCAGAGG